CUCCUAUGAUGAUCAAGCCAUGCUAAUACUGAUGCACCAGCCAGAUGCAUUUUGCACUGCCUGGGUGUAAGUGAGUUCAGCUCAUCUUCUCACACUGGUGGCAUCAGUGUGUGCUGAGGAGA
Small nucleolar RNA from Amphilophus citrinellus (Midas cichlid), 122 nucleotides. The record is from Ensembl. Lineage: Eukaryota; Metazoa; Chordata; Actinopteri; Cichliformes; Cichlidae.